UAUGGUCGCGGAGCCGGGCGGUGCCCUAGGGGCGGCGGGGAAGGUUUGGGGUGAGCGGUGUGUCAGGUGUUCCCAGGCCACUGCUCAGGGCGCCGCGCGUCUCCUAAGUUCUCGAGGGAGCCCCGGGACGCGCGUAGAAAGCAGCCCGACUCAGCCCCGAGGGGUUCGGAAUGAGGAUGGCGGCCAGGGACUUUGGGGGUAACGCGGACUCCUGGGCUGCCAACAAAGGCCGCUGCGCAGGCGCUGCAUUCACUGCAGUUGCUUGCAUGCAUGCCUGGUGGGGCGUGGGGUCUGGGGAGGCUUAUCCAAAUCCGAUCUGGUAAAUAAGAAGUUAGUCUUUCCCAGUCACCGCCUCUUGCACGAAGAAUCGCCAGCACGGAGGCAGAGAGGACAGAAAACCACAGGCCAUUUGGGGAACUGAGUCCAGCUCAGUGUUUCUGGGGUGUGGGGGUGGCAUGGCUGGGGCUGGGGUUGGUGGAAAACAUUUGCAAUUUCUGCUUUAUCUCAUCAUUCCCACCUCUGACCUCUGGACCUGUUCUCUCCUACCCCUAACAUAAAUAGUUUUGGUUUCA
This is a long non-coding RNA of Sapajus apella (tufted capuchin), 572 nucleotides long. RefSeq lists it as uncharacterized. Lineage: Eukaryota; Metazoa; Chordata; Mammalia; Primates; Cebidae. The record is from RefSeq and is a predicted model, not a curated record. The transcript is spliced from 2 exons.